GCCGCGGUAAUACGUAGGUGGCAAGCGUUAUCCGGAUUUAUUGGGCGUAAAGCGAGCGCAGGCGGUUUUUUAAGUCUGAUGUGAAAGCCCUCGGCUUAACCGAGGAAGCGCAUCGGAAACUGGGAAACUUGAGUGCAGAAGAGGACAGUGGAACUCCAUGUGUAGCGGUGAAAUGCGUAGAUAUAUGGAAGAACACCAGUGGCGAAGGCGGCUGUCUGGUCUGUAACUGACGCUGAGGCUCGAAAGCAUGGGUAGCGAACAGGAUUAGAUACCCUGGUAGUCCAUGCCGUAAACGAUGAAUGCUAGGUGUUGGAGGGUUUCCGCCCUUCAGUGCCGCAGCUAACGCAUUAAGCAUUCCGCCUGGGGAGUACGACCGCAAGGUUGAAACUCAAAGGAAUUGACGGGGGCCCGCACAAGCGGUGGAGCAUGUGGUUUAAUUCGAAGCAACGCGAAGAACCUUACCAGGUCUUGACAUCUUUUGAUCACCUGAGAGAUCAGGUUUCCCCUUCGGGGGCAAAAUGACAGGUGGUGCAUGGUUGUCGUCAGCUCGUGUCGUGAGAUGUUGGGUUAAGUCCCGCAACGAGCGCAACCCUUAUGACUAGUUGCCAGCAUUUAGUUGGGCACUCUAGUAAGACUGCCGGUGACAAACCGGAGGAAGGUGGGGAUGACGUCAAAUCAUCAUGCCCCUUAUGACCUGGGCUACACACGUGCUACAAUGGAUGGUACAACGAGUUGCGAGACCGCGAGGUCAAGCUAAUCUCUUAAAGCCAUUCUCAGUUCGGACUGUAGGCUGCAACUCGCCUACACGAAGU
Molecule: ribosomal RNA, 812 nt
Filed under: Lacticaseibacillus paracasei
Lineage: Bacteria; Bacillati; Bacillota; Bacilli; Lactobacillales; Lactobacillaceae
Description: bacterial SSU rRNA
Rfam family: Bacterial small subunit ribosomal RNA
Source: RNAcentral